Long non-coding RNA from Daphnia pulicaria, 401 nucleotides. RefSeq lists it as uncharacterized. The transcript has 3 exons. NCBI's taxonomy places the organism in Eukaryota, Metazoa, Arthropoda, Branchiopoda, Diplostraca, Daphniidae. The record is from RefSeq and is a predicted model, not a curated record.
AUUAGAAGUAUCGUCUGCUUUCGUUGAGAUUAAAAUUUCGAAAAAUUUCGAGACAAAGUUCAAGAUUUAUGUUGUGUUUCGUCAUACUCCAUGUUGUUUAGCGGAUUUGAGGCCAGAGACAGCCAUCAUAACCUCACAAUAUACAAGUUUUUCUUGUGCAGUUGUUAAACUGUCACCAGCGACAAUCUCUGGAUCAUCACUUGGAUAAACAGCAUCCCAUUGCAUUGAAAAAACUACCGAUAUAAUUCGAGUGAAGGAUCUCUCCGACCCCUCUGACUCCCUUUCUUUAAAUGUUCUCGUGUACGCCCAUGUGAAUGUGGGUGUAUUCACGAGGACAUCUUUUUUUACCCUAUAUCCCGUCCAGUGUAAUUCAACUCUUCAGCGGAUGGAUGGAGCAACUG